GGGAGAUCGGCGACGGCGGCGUCGACUGCUGCGGGAGAUCGGCGGCGGCGGCAUUUUCGAAGAUGUUGUGCCCAGAUUGCCAUUCGUACUGCGAGAAUGACGAUGAGCAUAGCUUUGGCAUUUUCAUUCGUGACAGUUCUGGAGAUUUUGUGCACAACAUCCCAUGCACCGCAAGGAACCAGUUCAACCAGAGGAGUGGCUGGAGUUUAAAGCACACGGCCGUAGGGCAAAAUAGUGGUGUUCGACAUGUCUGCACGGAUGCCCCAGGCUUAUGUGUGUUAUGUUGGAAGUGGGCUUGCAGCAGAUCACGGGGGCGCAACACAGGACAUGACAGCAGGUGAUGUUGCACAAGGGGGUGGGGGGAAGGGGGGAGCCGGCAAUUUUGCUGUGCAUGGAGUGGAAGAGGUAAACAAUGCUGGUCACGGUGUUGAAGUUGCCCCAGACAUCAUUUAUACCAGGGGUCUUGUUCUCAGCGAUGGCGAAGCACAAAUGUUGGGCCUGGUAAUAACCAUUGAGGAUGGAUACAUUGGACCACAUUAUGUGCACCGCCUCACGCCCACGAACAUCACAAGCAAGUUUAUGAAAAUCCCCAAGAAAAUAGUUCAACCACUGAACUUUUCUAGAGAAGGGGUUAUUGGGCUUUGCAUGGUUGUAGGAGAUCUCAUGCAGCUUGGAUAUCACAUGACGGAUGGUCUUCGACAAAGAUUGGGGUGUUUUUGUAGCCCGGAACCACCUCCGGGUGGACGAUGUUGUCAUUUUCAACUCAAGCAGAGCAAUGCAUAGGGCCUCAACAUAACAUGCGUCGUCAUUGAUUUGAGACCGGCACAAGGAUAAGAGUUUUGGUGCUAGAAACAGUGUAAUAGCAUUUCCUAGAGUGGCCCUUUUUGGUGACUUAGGCUAUCCAGCUACCUUCUCUUUUUUAUGUCUUUUUGUUUUUCUGAACUAUGUAAGCAUUUGGAUGUAUGUUUUUCUGAACUAUGUAAGCACUGGGAUGGAUGUUUUUGUGGUAUGAGUGUUUUCCCAUCCACCCCCUAUGCUUUUUGUU
Molecule: long non-coding RNA, 1045 nt
Organism: Triticum dicoccoides
Lineage: Eukaryota; Viridiplantae; Streptophyta; Magnoliopsida; Poales; Poaceae
Exons: 5
Source: RefSeq, a predicted model, not a curated record